This is a non-coding RNA of Pelobates cultripes (western spadefoot toad), 7928 nucleotides long. The record is from the annotation of a GenBank genome assembly. Lineage: Eukaryota; Metazoa; Chordata; Amphibia; Anura; Pelobatidae.
CCCAUAGCAGCACACUCACUGAGUCAACCACUUGUAAUGUGGGGAUGGGUCUUUGUGGUGAAGAGAUAUGAAAACAAUUCUGGAUUCAAGAGUUUAAUGAGGGAGUGGUAACAGAGGAAUCUUGGUAUUUCUUGUUCUCAAGCCAGUUAUGAAGAAAAUAUGGUGAGUACAAGCUGCUACUCCACUAAGUUAAGACUUAUAACGGAGGCAUGAAAGUUCUUGAAUUAUUGCCAGAUAUGAUGUGAUUUAAUAAUGUGUCUAUUCAAAUGUGCAGUAGAAUUGAGAAGAAGCUUCCUCUUUAGAAUAUUAAAAUAUAAACCCGUGGAACACUUUAGAUUAUUGCAAAAGACACUGAGUUCAUAAAAAUGUUAUAGAAAUACAAAUAUUGCUUAAAAAAAAGGAAAAUAUUUAAUAAGCAAUUCCACUUUUGAAAACAUUUUUAUAACUCUUUAAAGGGUUGCUCCAUGCACCAUGAUCACUUGGGUGAGUUGAACUGGUUAUAGUGUCUGGAGUCUGUAUUAGCAAUGCUGCACAUAUGGAGUUUAACCCAUCUAGUGCAGAGGUGUAACUUGACUUCCAGCAACAUUAUUGGGGCUUCAUUAUCCAGCUAAUGUAAAUUCUGUGCAUGUGUUUGCUUUCUGCCAAGGAAUAGUGAUUUGAUCAGAAGAGCAUCACCAGUGCUCACUGAAGUCCAGCAGGGACCCAAGUAAGGGGACAAACCGUUACUAAAUUACUCCAUCAUCAGGAAACCCGGCCAAAGUACUUCACUCUCCACUGUGUUAUUUCCAUCCAGUUUUUCUUUAACGUCAGCUGCAUGUUGGCUACUACUAGGUGGUUAUAGUGUAGAGGGAAAUAAUGGCUGCAUAGUGAGAGACUGGAUCUGUAGUGUAGCGGUGGAUGAGGGCUUUAGCAUAGGAGGGAGGGUCGGUACUGUAGGGUGUAUAGGAGCCAUAGUGUAGAGAAGGACGGGGGCUGCAGAGUAGAGCAGAUAUUUUAGUAUUAAAUUUAAUAGGGCCCUAUUCACUUUUAUUAUUAUUUUUAUUAUGUUUAUUAUUAUUAUGUUGAGGACAUGGAACUGUUUGGAGGGAUGGGGGAGGAGAGGGGAUUGCAAAUAAAGAAGUUGCUCUCAGGCUCCUCUUGACCUCGCUAUGCCACUACCAGGGGAGUGGUGGCGAAGGUCCCCCCAGAAAAGCACAUAAUCUAAUGCUUGUCUGUGAGAAGCAUUCACGGUUUUCAUUAGCAUUAUGCUGUAUGUAUGAUGUUGCCGAAUAUGAAGAAUUUUAAUAAUUAGAUGUUUUCAAUGAGGAAGUGCCUCUAAUGGCUGUUAGUCUGACAGCCAACAGAUGAGAGAUCAUGGCCAAAAACCCGAGGCUCUCCUCCCUUAUGAAAUCUUUAAGAACUGAACUCAAGAACAUCAAAAAAAAUCUCAAGAACCCCAUUAAAAAUGGUUACUAUGGCAUUACAAUAAAUAAUGAUAGAAUAUGGUCAUUAUGCAAUUUCAUUAUAGUCUAUACAAUAGGAUAUUUUUAAUGUGUAAUCUCACAAUUUACUUUGCUAAAGAAAUGUUAUGUUUACCGGUUAUUAAUAUAUAUAUUAGAUGUGGGUGUUUUUGAAAGAUCAUUUGUCAAAGAGAGAAGUCAAAUCUUCUCCCUCGCUAAAUAUGUCUUCUGCUUUGUAAACACACCAAAUGAUAAUGAGAACAGUCAAGCAACCCCCAACGCAUAUUAUCUUCUUACCACUCACAUCUUUCAUUGUGGAUUACAGAGAAGUGGUUGCACACACACGAACAGCACCUUACAAAUUAAAUGUUUAGUUUAGCGAAGUGAUUAUUAGUUACAUUUCAUGGGUGGUAAGUGCAACACUUCACAUAAUCCCUUAAGAGCCUGUACGUAUCAGGAGACUUGCACAACAAUUCGAUAAUCCCACACACAUUUUUUUAGGGUUUACUUAUAAAUCUAUGUGAUGGGAUCAGUAUAUAAAGUAUAUAGGAAACAAACUAAACCACCAAUAACUGGAAGAUGGAUCAUGCUACACAGCCCACCCACAAUAAGCAACCAUGCAAGGGAGAAAAUGGUGUAAAUCAUCAAUUUCAAUGUGUCCCCAUAGGUUGGAAGAAGCAUAUCUCAUUUGUCAGACCUCAGGCAACUGCCUACAUUAUACUGGUUUACUGUAGCUGUGUUGGUUACCCCAGGGCAUUGGAGACCUUUCUCACAGUGGGAAUUUUCCAAUAAAGAAGUUUUGCUGAGUUAAUUUUGUUAUAUAUUACACAAGAGUUAGAAAAUCAUUGAGCUAAUUUCAAAAUGAAUUAAAAUAAUGGGUCAUGACAGAAUUUAGGUCCCUAAGGAAAAAAAAAAAAAAGAUUAGAGUGUUACUCUAACCAUCAUGACCACUUCUGAGGGGUCAGUAUGUUAGGAGUCUGGAUGCGCAGUGUAUCUGCUUGAAAUGCUGCAGAUGCAUAGGCAUUUGUACUUGUCUGACAGGGGCUAGUCACACCCCUGGCACAUGGUAAUUAGGUAGCCUGGAACUCUGGCAACAGACGAAAUCUGCAUGGGUCUUCCUUUCCUCCCGCCCAAAUUGCAGCCCUCUUUCCUCCCCAUCCCAUGUGCUAUUUUUUUUUCUUCUGCCUUCCCUCCUCUUGGAUCACAUGCAAGCGCUCUGAGUUGGUUAAACGGUCAAAUAAAGACUUCUCUAGGAGGCUUCUGUGAUGUCAUAAGGGGGCGUUGCGAAUUACAAUUGAAAAGCUGACCUAUGUUCGUGGGCUCAAAGGGACCAGUUUUAAAGGCUUUACAGAUUUGCCAAAAAGCCAUGAAUUCCGUAAGAGCGCCAACCAUUAAUUGAAAGGUACAGGGAAUUGGAGGCAUUCAGUGGAAAGUGCUCAUUUGGAUUGGCGAAUUUGAACCGGAAGCUGCAGAGUUUUGUACUCAGGCACUGUAAGUGUGUUUAAAACCAGUGAUGGUCCCAUUAACUUCUAUGUAAGCAUUUUUAAAUUGGUGUCAUUAGAAAGUUUUAGUAAACAGUAUUAUACUAUGAUUUACUUUGUCUUUAUGUUUCUCACAUGCGAAUUGAAAAACUGUGAAUGACCACAAAAUUUUAAUUAUUACAAGAUAAGUUUAAAUUUGCCACUUGUUGCACCUGCAUGUAUUAUCUUGUGCACAGCCCAAGCACAUAUACCAGAGUAACUUUUUAUCCGUUAUAUAUUUUUUUACAUAUCUUGCCACGUGUGGAGUGAGUCACUGGGGUUAUGUGUUAUGUUCUGUAAUAAUGCCUACAACGGUUAUUUUUGUUUAUUUGUUUAAGCGCCAGGAGCUUCGCCCGGUGCUAGAAUAAGGCAAUGAAAACAUAUUUUAUUAACUUUGUUUAUCCAUUGCUAGGGGAGGACUGGAAGUUUAAUGGCCAACAGGGCCUUAUUCUAAAAAAAAAAGGGGUUGGAACAAUAUUUUAAUUUAUGCAUCAAUAUGUAAAUUCAAAUUAUCAUCUCAUACAAGCACUGUUUAAACUUCACGUGUAUUUAAAAUGCUAGACAUGUUCCUCUAAAAGACAAACUGCUCAUAUCUAAAUUUUGUGAGUGAUGAAAUAUUCCAUGGACUGUUCCAUGCUCUGUAUAAAUAUUCCUUUCUGGGCAAGGUUGAAUUUCUGUUUUGUAGACGUCCCUGUUAUACCAUUGAACAGUUUCACCUCUGGCAUGUUUUAUGAUGAGACUAACCUUUUUAUUAAACCAUGUUUUGCACUGAAAUUCACAAAAAGUUGCCAACCUCAUGUAAAAAGUUUCCAACUUGGUUCCUAGUUAUUAUACUAAAUAUCUUGCAUAUUGCCACAGUGUCGACAAAUACAUCUCAAUAUCCUGGGCACACAGGCAUACUUUCAGAAGAAAAUACAUAAAUAAUCUGUUGGUUGGCUUUCUACUAAAUCUUUCCUAGUACAGUCAGAAAACUUUCAGCUUGAUUUACUAAAGCCUGGCAGGCUUUUUAUUUGGUGUUGCAGCAAAAUUACAUUUUUAUUUAUUAAAAUACCAUAUAUACUCGAGUAUAAGAUGAGUUUUUCGGCACAUUUUUUGUGCUGAAAAAGUCCCACUCGUCUUAUACUCGAAUCAGUGUCUGUAUUAUGGCAACUUACAUUGCCAUAAUACAGACCAGGACCGCCGGGCUCAUUACAAGCCCGGCGGUCCUGUUGGGGGCCGGAGCAAGCUGUAACUUACCUUUACUUCAGCUCCCUUCUCCUCCGUGCUGUUCAGUUCACAGUGUAAGUCUCGCGAGAGCCGUGGCCGUCAGAACGUUGCGGCACGCAGACCGCAAGACUUACACUGUGAGUUGAACGGCAUGGAGGAGAAGGGAGCUGAAGUAAAGGUAAGUUACAGCUUGCUCUCAGCCCGACUCCUGCACAGCCCAUCCACUGAACCAACAGGGAAUAAUAUAGCCCCCUCCCUUGCCAGGCAAACAAAACACAAACACACUCUGCAUCAUAAACACAAACACACUCUGCAUCACAUACACAAACACACUGUGCAUCAUAUAUACAAACACACUGUGCAUCAUAUGCACAAACACACUGUGCAUCAUAUGCACAAACACACUGUGCAUCAUAUGCACAAACACACUGUGCAUCAUAUGCACAAACACACUGUGCAUCAUAUGCACAAACACACUGUGCAUCAUAUGCACAAGCACACUGCGCAUCAUAUACACAAGCACACUGCGCAUCAUAUACACACACUCUGCAUUCAUACACACACACUGCAUUCAUACACACAAACGCACUCUGCAUCACAUACACACACACACUCUGCAUCACAUACACACACUGCAUUCACACACACACACACUGCAUUCGUACACACACACACACUGCAUUCGUACACCCACACACACUGCAUUCAUACAUACACACUCUGCAUUCAUUAUACACACACACUGUAAAUAAAUAUUCAAUUAAUAUAAUUUUUUGGGGGAUCUAAUUUCAUUUAGAAAUUUACCAGUAGCUGCUGCAUUUUCCACCCUAGUCUUAUACUCGAGUCAAGUUUUACCCCAGUUUUUUGGGGUAAAAUUAGGGGCCUCGACUUAUAUGCGGGUCGACGUGUACUUGAGUAUAUACGAUAGAUUAACUUUACUGCAACAGAAAUUGAGUGCAAGCGAUCCAACGGAAACCAGAGGAUCUACAACACCAUUUGCUAUUUAUGAUAUUGCAUUGUGGUUUCCUGAUUUAUUUUUAUUUAUAUAGAGCUAACAUAUCCCGCAGCACUGUACAAUAGGUAAAAAAGACAAACAUUUAAUUCUGACAAAAAAAGUAUGACUUACAGGAACAGUAGGUGAACAGGACCCUGCCCAAAUGAGCUUUCAAUCUAAAACUACUUAGACGAGGGGUAAAUAGACUUAACCCUCAGCAGAAAGCAAAAAAACAAACCAGGAGUGGCCUAUUCUAUUAUAUUCCCCUUAUGGGCUAUGGAGUGGAGAGUAAUAACUAAAUAAGGCCCAGGAGAUACCCAGUCUCCAGGGACAUAUUGGGUAUUUAGCUGAUUUAAUAGUCCAAGGGAUGUUUAGUCUCAAAAUACCAAUGGGGACUGAUCAAUAUCUCUGUGUAGAUUUAUCAGUCAAGGUGGGAGAAACUUUUAUAAAGGUUUUUCCAUACUUCGCCUUAUAUCUAUACGCGUUACUGGAUGAGACAUGCUGGGCAGAGUGCUAGGGGAAUAGAUUUGCUGUGUGAGGUCAGUUUAAUAUUGGAAGCCAGCCCGAAAACCGUGAUAUUAAAUAUCACUUUCAAAGUGAUUUCUGAGUGUAAAUUAAUUAAUCAGAAGCCAGCUAUUUACACCAUCUAGUAGUAGAUCUAGGUGCAUAUAUGUAGUACAUGUAUCUAUGUUCAGUUUAGCCAUUGCAAAUAUAAUGCAUGUAAUGUAAUAAGGAAAUCACCUGUGCUAUUUUUUUCACUUACGUUAACUGUCUAUAUUAAUUUACUCUUUAUUUUAUAGCCAAUGUUAGGCUUUGUGUUCAUCAAAUAAGCUGAAUAUGUUCCUCUGAGUCCCUUUCUAUAAAUAGCUCUUCAUAUAAAAGUCUCAGUUGUGAGCCAAGUAGAAAAAUGCUUCUAAUUGGAAGUUAUUCCCAUGAUUGUAUCUUUUGAGCGUAUUACUAUGACCUAGAUCCAGGCAGAGAAAUUAAGUAUUAUUUACCAUUAGAUCAAACAAACUGAAUUAAUUCCUGCUUUUUUAAUGUGUAUGUUUUCACCAAAUAGUAUUACAAAUAUAACAUUUUACAAAUGUUUUAUUCAUAGUUGUCCAUAUCAAGGUCGAUAGACCUUAUCACUAUUCUUAGUGAUAAAGCAUUCUCCAAAAACCUCAGUAAUACCAGGUGCCACCAUGUGGCCAAAACGUUUACUACUCUGAAGAGGGAUACAAUGUACUUUAUGCAAUCAGGACUGGGAUGAUGUAGAGCUAGCAUGUCAAACUCGCAGGCCACAAUGAAUAUCUUUGUGGCCCAGCGAACCGUGUGUUUGACAGAGUAGGCACCUGCUCUCCCCAUAUUGCAGGUGCCAUCUCUGCUAAAAUGUACCCAGCCGGUAGGAGAGGUCACUGGCGGCAGAGAGGAAGCUCAGUCUUCCUGCUCCUCACUGCUCCCUUGCGCGCACCUUCUGUAGUGAUGCCGGGUGCUGGAAUAUGACGUCAUCUUCCAGCACCCGGCAUCACUAAAUUGCGCGCGUGAGGAGCAGGAAUGGAGACCUCGCAAGAAAAGCUCCCAAAGGUAGGGAACAAUAAAUAAAAUGAUGUGAGUGUGUGCAAGAAUGUGUAAAUAUGUGUGUGUGUGUGUCUGUCAGUCAGUGUGUGUGUCUGUCAGUGUCAGUCAGUCAGUGAGUGAGUGUGUGUUGGUGUGUGUGUGUAUCUGUCAGUCAGUGAGUUUGUGUCUGUCAGUGAGUGUGUGUCUGUCAGUGAGUGUGUGUUGGUCAGUGUUGCAAUGGCAAAGGCUGGACAGUGGAGGACGUCAACGUGCUCCACCUUCACAGGGUAAAAAAUACAGAACCCUUGGUUGGAUACCAAAUGAGUGCAAACAAUUGCUCUGGUCUCCCCCUAUGUGUCUCAUCCCGACCAAGCCCUUCAAUGUGUCUCAUUCUCACCCCCGGCCCUCCAUGUGUCUCAGUCUCCCCCCAGCUUUUCCACAUGUCUCAAGCCCCAUCCCUUCCAUGUGUCUAAUUCUCACCUAGACCCUCCAUGUGUCUCACUCCCACCUUUCAUGUGUCUCAACUCCACCCCAGUCCAUUACAUGUGUCUCAAUUCCCCCCAGUCACUUCUAUGUCUCUCAACCCCCCCAGUCCCUUCCAUGUGUCUCACUCCCACCCAGUCCCUUCCAUCUGUCUCAAUGUCCAACCAAGUCCCUUCCAUUUGUCUCAAUGUCCACCCCCAGUCUUUUCCAUGUGUCUCAAUGUCCCCUCCCCAGUCCCUUCCAAGUUAUUCAGGCACACAGUCGGAGGGUCCCUUGUAGAGAUGGGCCAUUCGUAGCUGAGACCCAGUAGGUAUGCCACUGCCAAAUAUAUGUGAUUGCUUAACUUAUAUCUCAUUGUUAUUUCACCCUUUACAUGUGUUCGUUUCAUAAAUAACACAAUAUCUCCAAACACCAGCUUUGUCUCCAAACUUAAGACUUAUUUCACUACCCACAUAAGCCAUAUAAUCAUCUCCCUAAUUCCAUUUUUUUUUUAAACUUGACUGUCUACUGUCUAAUUUGACCAUUUCACGGUAAGAUAAAUAUUGCCUCUAGACUUACUUUGUCGUCUCCUAUUUAGUUUUUGCUCUUAUCGUUUCCUGCCAAUUAAACCCACCCCUCUUCAUCCUGCCUUUUCAUUUCUCCACUUCUUGUUGACACCACAUUUCUCUGACUCUUCGUUGUUCCCCUGUCUUUCAUUGUUUUUCCAGAUCCAUCAUGGAUGGCAGUGGUAGGAUGAGAACAAGUUUG